RNAcentral lists this ribosomal RNA (492 nucleotides) under uncultured bacterium. RNAcentral describes it as "bacterial SSU rRNA". It matches the Rfam family "Bacterial small subunit ribosomal RNA", at positions 31 to 509 of the family's 1533-position model. The record is from RNAcentral.
GAACGCUGGCGGCGUGGAUAAGACAUGCAAGUCGAACGAGAAACUUACUUAGCUUGCUUUGAAAGUUUCUAGUGGCGGACGGGUGAGUAACACGUGAGUUACCUGCCCCGAAGUGGGGGAUAGCCUUCCGAAAGGGAGAUUAAUACCCCAUGUGAUCGCAAGAUUAAAGGCGGCCAUCUUUGAUGGCUGUCGCUUCGGGAUGGGCUCGCGGCCUAUCAGCUAGUUGGUGAGGUAACUGCUUACCAAGGCGAUGACGGGUAGCUGGUCUGAGAGGACGACCAGUCACACUGGAACUGAGACACGGUCCAGACACCUACGGGUGGCAGCAGUCGAGAAUCAUUCGCAAUGGGCGAAAGCCUGACGGUGCGACGCCGCGUGGAGGAUGAAGGCCCUAGGGUCGUAAACUCCUGUCAUCAGGGAGUAAUGGCUCACGUAGUAACUGCCGUGAGCAGUGAUAGUACCUGAAGAGGAAGGGACGGCAAACUUCGUGCC